RNAcentral lists this ribosomal RNA (119 nucleotides) under Pteropus alecto (black flying fox). The record is from RNAcentral. Lineage: Eukaryota; Metazoa; Chordata; Mammalia; Chiroptera; Pteropodidae.
GUCUACGGCCAUGCCACCUUGAACAAGCCCAAUCCUGUCUGAUCUCGGAAGCUAAGCAGGUUCGGGCCUGGUUAGUACUUGGAUGGGAAACCACCUAGGAAGACCAGGUGAUGUAGGUG